UACGUAGGGUGCGAGCGUUGUCCGGAAUUAUUGGGCGUAAAGAGCUUGUAGGCGGUUUGUCGCGUCUGCCGUGAAAGCCCAGGGCUUAACCCUGGGUCUGCGGUGGGUACGGGCAGACUAGAGUGUGGUAGGGGAGACUGGAAUUCCUGGUGUAGCGGUGAAAUGCGCAGAUAUCAGGAGGAACACCGGCGGCGAAGGCGGCCCUCUGGCUCGUUGCUGACGCUGAGGCACGAAAGCCAGGGGAGCAAACAGG
This 253-nucleotide ribosomal RNA is filed under the name uncultured bacterium. RNAcentral's name for it is "partial 16S ribosomal RNA". It matches the Rfam family "Bacterial small subunit ribosomal RNA", at positions 524 to 776 of the family's 1533-position model. The record is from RNAcentral.